AAAGAAAGAAAAGCAUCACAAAUCUCACGCACUGUCUCUCGUUCGCGCAAAGCACGCUGCUUUUCUCCGCUUUGCGAGCACCAUAGCCUAGCCCACCAUGUGCGGCGGCGCCAUCCUCUCCGACCUCAUCCCGCCGCCGCGGCGGGUCACCGCCGGCGACCUCUGGCUGGAGAAGACCAAGAAGCAGCAGCAGCAGAAGAAGAAGAACAAGGGCGCGAGGAGGCUGCCACUGCGCCAAGAGGAGGAGGAUGAUUUCGAGG
RNAcentral lists this long non-coding RNA (260 nucleotides) under Oryza sativa (Asian cultivated rice). RNAcentral describes it as "long non-coding RNA (OSAT_LNC001097)". The record is from RNAcentral. Lineage: Eukaryota; Viridiplantae; Streptophyta; Magnoliopsida; Poales; Poaceae.